UACGGAGGGUGCGAGCGUUAAUCGGAAUCACUGGGCGUAAAGGGCGCGUAGGCGGCCUAGCAAGUCUGGUGUGAAAGCCCAGGGCUCAACCCUGGAAGGGCACUGGAAACUGUUAGGCUUGAGUUCCGGAGAGGAGGGGGGAAUUCCCGGUGUAGCGGUGAAAUGCGUAGAUAUCGGGAGGAAUACCGGUGGCGAAGGCGCCCCCCUGGACGGAAACUGACGCUGAGGCGCGAAAGCGUGGGGAGCAAACAGG
RNAcentral lists this ribosomal RNA (253 nucleotides) under uncultured bacterium. Its description in RNAcentral is "partial 16S ribosomal RNA". It matches the Rfam family "Bacterial small subunit ribosomal RNA", at positions 524 to 776 of the family's 1533-position model. The record is from RNAcentral.